AAAAAUUUCGAAAAAUAUGUGCCGAAUUUUUUUAACAAAAGGCAAAAAAUAUUAUUUUUUAGGGAAAAAAAAGUCUUUAAGAGAGAAGAGAAUUUUUCAUAUAUUUGAUUCUGUUUUUAAAUCUCUUCCCUUUUGAGGAAAAGUAUUUUCAUUUGUUGGUAUACGUACCAAUGAAGUUAUUAUUUUGUAAGAGUAUCACUAGUAUGGUGUAAUUUCGUUUUUAUUUUGCUAAAUUAUUGUCUAACAAGCGAGGAUAUGGAGGUAUAUUAUAUUAUACAUGUCUUGUUAUUGAGAAUAAACACUCAUUUGUCAUUUGUGAUAUUUGAGGCACGAAAUCUUUCUUACCAUAUUUCUGUUGUUUUUUUACAAGAAAAAAAAGAAGGCUUAAUUAGUAAAAUGGUCCCUUAAAGACAUUUUUGGUUUCAGAUUGGUCCCUUAAAGAAAAAAAGGUCCAAAUAGGUCCCUUAAAGAAAAAAGAGUCCGAAUAGGUCCCUUAAAAACAUCUCCGUUAAUCAGUUUGGUCCCUAAAAAGAGGUCUAAAUAGGACCAAAAUGAUUAACAGAGAUGUCUUUAAGGGACCUAUUCGGACUUUUUUUUCUUUAAGGGACCUAUUUGGACCUUUUUUUCUUUAAGGGACAAAUUUAAAACCAAAAAUGUCUUUAAGAGACCAUUUUAUUAAUUAAGCCAAAAAAGAAUAAAGACUAAUUUAAUUUCUCAAAGAUAGAUGUGAUCCCUACCUAAUACUCUCUCCGUUGCAAAUAUAUAUGUCAUUUUGUUAAAUUUCGUACGAAUUAAGAAAUCUAAUUUUUAAAAUUGGGAGUAAGGUCUAACUUAACUUUACAAAACGAGUGUGAUGAUUGUCUCUACUUACAAACACAUGUUAAGGUCAUCUCACAUCUGAUGUGAUACUUUUUAACACACUACUUCACGCCCAACACUAUUGGACUGUGUGUGACCCGAUAGCGGAAACUUGAUAGCAAGUGGCCCAAUAGAUCUUGGAGAGACUCUGAUAUCAUCUUAGA
Molecule: long non-coding RNA, 1022 nt
Filed under: Trifolium pratense (red clover)
Lineage: Eukaryota; Viridiplantae; Streptophyta; Magnoliopsida; Fabales; Fabaceae
Description: long non-coding RNA (TPRA_LNC013784)
Source: RNAcentral